This is a long non-coding RNA of Cyprinus carpio (common carp), 1078 nucleotides long. RefSeq lists it as uncharacterized. The transcript is spliced from 3 exons. Lineage: Eukaryota; Metazoa; Chordata; Actinopteri; Cypriniformes; Cyprinidae. The record is from RefSeq and is a predicted model, not a curated record.
UGUGGGACUGUUCAAACUAGUAAUUCAAGAGAAUUGAAUAGAAUAUUGAUUAAAACAAUACUGAAGUGUGCUUUAUUAGAGUUUAAUGGUUGUAGUAAACCGUGUUUUUUUGUGCACCUGUGGAUUUUUGUGUGUACUUGUUGGGAGGGGGUUGGGAAAGAGAGCGUCUGCAUCUUUAAAUGGUCACCAUGUGCCAAUGUGCUUAAAUUGAAGAGGGCUGCUGUCAUCUGGUGAAUCAUUCUGAGGGUGGUGUUUAAGUCGGGCCAGCAAGUACAGACAUGUUCUCGUACCUCAUUUAAAGCCCCCCAUGAGAAGAUGAUGGGUCACAGAUUCACAGCAGAGUGUAAGAUGUGACAUCUGUCAGCAAAUGAGGAAAUGAUUUGCAGCCUUCAAUUCCAAACCACUAUUUGCCUGUCAAAACAGAGGAGCUUUCUUUCACAAGCCUGCCCAGCUGUCAACGUCAUCUGACUUUUUGGUUGUGACUCUCUCUCUAUACAAAUGAAAAUAAACAUAUGAUCCAUGAAGAAGUUGUGAUGCAAAGGAAAGAGUGAAGAAGACGCUAUCUCCAGCCCCCUUCAUCUGAAUCAACAGAAAGAGCUGCAUUUCAGAGAUGCUGAAGCAUCGGAAAAUCGAGGAAAGGAAGUCCUGCAUGUUUGAAAUGACAUGAGGGUGAGUAAAUGAUUGCAGAUUUGUCAUUAUUGGGUGAACUGUCCCUUUAAGAGCUUGAAGCCCCAGUGUUUCCACAGAGGUGAUUGACUGAGAUAUACAUUAGCUCACACAUGCGUCUUUGAGCAACACUUGCUGCUGUAUGUUGAUGGGCUAAGUAACAAAAGACCUGCUGUUUGAGUGGACUACCACCUGUCCUUCAACAGCACUGCCUUCACAACUUCCCCCACACUUUCAAACCACUCUUCAUCCAUUCAUGACUUAAGUUUCAGGAUUUACGAUGUUAUUGCCACCUUGGUAACUAGUGCACUUCAAGUGCUUUACAUUUUAUAAUCUCAAAUUGCUCUCAUGUAAGAACAAACUGUACUUGCAGAGAAUACAAAAUAAGAAUACUGCUUUCAUCAUUCACAUA